AUGUUGAAACUAAUCAGACUUUUACAAAUGUUUGACUCAGAUGAAAACGUAUUACAAUACAAUUUCAUUAUGGCUAUGAUAUGAGAAGGAAACAUAAUCUACUUUCAGACAGAAUACUCCAAGAAAGGUACCGUUUUACAUUUGUUCUCAUUACUUUAUCUUUGAAUCCAUGAUAAAAUCAAUAAUAAUGAUAUUAGUAUUAAUAGCAAUUGACCAAAUUAUUUUCUGCUAUGCUAUGUUGAAUAUUCACUUUUAUAUGGAAUGCCUUCAUGAAAGCUACCUUGUAAAAUGAGAGCAAAUUUCACUUCCAUUUCAGAGAUGAUAAAAUAACCGAGUCAGCCAGCCAGAGAACUUGGCUUCUUGCUAUUACACAUAUACACACACAUUCUGAAAUCCUUCUAACUUAGCAAUUCAUCAGUAAAAGCCAAAACUGGGCUUGUGAAAGUCCAAGUUAGGAAUGUACAACUAUCUCUGCCCCACCUCUAAUCCAAAACCCAAACCAUUCCUUAGGCAUCUCCCCAAGAAUUCCUCUGCUAAGAGACCUGGGUUUCAGAACUACCUACGUGAUUUGGGGCAAUAAUCAUGCCCCAAAUCAUGCAGCAUACUACAAGCCAGUGUCCCCCAAAAGAGCUUCCUUCUAGGAAGCUAAUACUCUUCUUUUCAACUUCUAACCCAGUCUGUCACCAAAAGGAUUUCAUUCUAGAAAAUUUCAUCAAAGGUGAUUGGCUUUUAUGUUUAUAACACCAGGCCAUUCUUCUGUUGCGAUCAGCUCUGGGCUUCCUGUCACCACCCAGCUUGCCCCUAUCUGCUUGGGACUGCCUAAUCAGCCAGAAGACCACAAAAAAGGGCACUCAUCCUUUGUCACCUGAAACAGGACAGAUGUGAAGCACUUUCAACAACUUGUGCUUGAGGCCUGGGAUUCUGUAGAGCAUGUUCCAGUGUACAAGAGGAUUCAAGUCCCUGGCAGCCUGCUUUCUAUCCAAAGCUGGGUCACCUCUCUUGGGACCACCAGGACAUUGAAUUGCUUUCCCAUUCCUGUGGACUUCUGAAAUGGGCCCACCUGAGACAAGAACCCAGAGUGCCUAGCACCUUUAGGCUGGGCACAGAACCACCCACCUAGGAACCGAUGACUGCAACCCAGGAGGAGACACAGAUGCCCCCAGAGAUGCCCCCAAGUCACAGCCUCCCUUGAGCCCUGCCAAUGCACUCCCUAACUGCCUCACUUGGCUGGAUCACCCUGCUCCAGGAACAGACAACUGGAGCCUGAGAAAUCAGAUGAUGGAGACCUACCAAGCAUCACCCUCCUCCUGCCUCCCAACAGCCACCACCCAGUGUUCCAAGUCUUGUUGGGAGUAGAGCCCAGGAGCAGUGGCUGAGUUGAUGCAAGGCUGCCUCUGCCACCUGCCUUUGGCCUCCUUGAGAUUUCUUUCACUGAGACUCUUCAAUGGGUGAUCCUGUGCCAAAAGGUAUUGCUACCAUGACACCUCUAGGUUUGCUCAAACACAAUGGUAGAGAUCGUGCCUGCAGAGAACUUUGCACAUGUGUUUUUGCCCACGUGAUAAAACUGUGCAAAAAUGCAAAAUUCUUACCCAUGCAUGUUUCUGGUUUGGCUGCUGAGGAAGGACAGGGAGCAGAGGAGCUGGUGGCCGGGCCUGGGCCAGGACAGGUGCAUGGCCCUUGGUGCAAUAGGGAGGAGUCCAGCAUGAACACAACUUUUAUUGGUAUAGAGGUGACUGGGUGUUUUAAAGGGAGACUGAGGGAAUAGGGAGGUGUGUGAGUGAGGAAGACCUGCGUAGAAACAGGAAAGUGAAAAAUUAUAGAAAGUGGAAAGGGGGGAUUGGUCCAUAUGAACUGAGUCUCCUAACUGGGGCUAAACAAAGCUAGGCUCCUGCCCUCCCACAGAGGCUGGGAGACAGGAGCCCUAUUUUCAGGUCUUGCCUCGAACACACAGUAUAUUCUUUUUGUAGCCUUGAUCUUUCUCAGUCAGGCAUCUAAAGGAGGGCUAGGGUCAUCCCAGAGUUGUGGCCUUGAGCUGUAAGACACUGUGUUAGUGUUUUUCAAGUCUUUAUAGACCAAGGUUGAAGCUUAGUAAAGAGUACUCCCAGGAACCUGUCUAGAGAUUGGUCAAGGAGAUAAUCUUUGUUAAUGUCAACUGAAGAAAAAAAAAAUCAAGCUUUUAAAUAUUUAAAUUUAUUUAGAAGUCUUUCUGAGGACUACAGACUGAGGACUUACAGCCCUGGAGGAGUCUUUUAGAGAGAUUUUGCAGACUGCUUAGAAACAGCGUUUCUGCUCAUAACUUAUAUACAGGUCAUGGAGGUUUCAGUAUGCCUUCAGAACUUACGUCAAACUUGCUCAGAUUUUACAUUAAAGCAGAAUCACAUCAAUGCUUGGGUGCAAGAGUACAUCUGGUUAUAGAUUAUAGAGCAUAAUCACUAACCCUGUCACAUAUUAUGUGUAGGAAAAUAUGUGUCACAUAUUAUGUGCAAGGACUGAGUUCAUUUAUGUGUUUUGUUUGUUUGUUUGUUUUUUUGAGAUGGAGUUUUGCUCUUGUCGCCCAGGCAGGAGUGCAGUGGCGCGCUCUUGGCUCACUGCAACCUCUGCCUCCCGGGUUCAAGCGUUUCUUCUGCCUCAGCCUCCCAUGUAGUUGGGAUUACAGGCACCCACCACCACGCCCAGCUAAAUUUUGUAUUUUUGUUAGAGACGGGGUUUCACUAUGUUGGCCAGGCUGGUCUUGAACUCCUGACCUCAGGUGAUCCACCUGCCUUGACCUCUCAAAGUGCUGGGAUUACAUGCAUGAGCCACUGCGCCCGGCUCAUUUAUCUUUUAAGGAACAUAGUGACUCAGACAGGAGAUGUGGGGGGCAAUGUGCUGUAUCCUGCCUGUUGUUGUUGUUGUUGUUGUUGUUGUUUGUUUGUUUGGACAAACUCUCACUCUGUCACCCAGGCUGGAGUGCAGUGGUGCGAUCUCGGCUCACUGCAACCUCCACCUCCCGAGUUCAAGUGAUUUUUGUGUCACAGCCUCUCGAGUAGCUAGGAUUACAG
RNAcentral lists this long non-coding RNA (3041 nucleotides) under Homo sapiens (human). Its description in RNAcentral is "HSALNT0087230". The record is from RNAcentral. Lineage: Eukaryota; Metazoa; Chordata; Mammalia; Primates; Hominidae.